This 587-nucleotide ribosomal RNA is filed under the name Hypocrella raciborskii. Its description in RNAcentral is "eukaryotic LSU rRNA". The stretch from base 217 to 370 matches the Rfam family "5.8S ribosomal RNA". The record is from RNAcentral. Lineage: Eukaryota; Fungi; Ascomycota; Sordariomycetes; Hypocreales; Clavicipitaceae.
CUUCCGUAGGUGAACCUGCGGAGGGAUCCUUACCGAGUUCCUGCAACUCCCCAACCCACUGUGAACGCAUACCUGUACGUUGCUUCGGCGGGCGCCCGCAGGGCCCGCCGGGGACCCGGAACGAACCUCUGUAUGUCACGCCGCGGCCGCGCCCCCGUGGUCGGCCGCGCACGUCUGAGUCUGCCGCGGUGCGAGGGCACCCGGAAAAUGAAUCAAAACUUUCAACAACGGAUCUCUUGGUUCUGGCAUCGAUGAAGAACGCAGCGAAAUGCGAUAAGUAAUGUGAAUUGCAGAAUUCAGUGAAUCAUCGAAUCUUUGAACGCACAUUGCGCCCGCCAGCACUCUGGCGGGCAUGCCUGUUCGAGCGUCAUUACACCCCUCGGGCGCCCCCGGGCGCCCGGUGCUGGGGACCGGCCGUGCCCGCCACGGCCGCCCCCCAAAUGGAUCGGCGGCAGCGCCUCGCGCGACCCCCUGCGUAGUAGAAGCAACCACGUUGACAACACGACCGCACCGGGAGCCAGGCGCGGCCACGGCCGCAAAACGCCCAACUCUUCUGAAGUUGACCUCGAAUCAGGUAGGGAUACCCG